This is a long non-coding RNA of Girardinichthys multiradiatus, 341 nucleotides long. RefSeq lists it as uncharacterized. The record is from RefSeq and is a predicted model, not a curated record. The transcript is spliced from 2 exons. Lineage: Eukaryota; Metazoa; Chordata; Actinopteri; Cyprinodontiformes; Goodeidae.
ACUAUCCAAGCCGACCUUUGAGCCGCUUCUAGUAUUGCUUGCUUCGACUUUGUUAACCUAUUUUGUCUUUUCAGUAUACCGUGUUGGUGACUACCUGGAUGUUACCCAGGUUGGCCACCAAUGGAUUUUGCUUAUGAGACCUCGUUCCCACCAUACAAUUCUCCAAACACCGUUAACGUCCAAGGGACUAAGUAUCUUGGCAGAACUCACCUCCGUAGUCCCACGCUGUUUCCUCCGGCCCGACUCCCUCUCCUCCUGGCGGUUUGUCAACAACCAACUACUUUGCCUACUGUGCCAAGACCGUACUUACUUCUGUGCUUUCAAUAAAUCUGUUAAACACU